AGAGUUUGAUCCUGGCUCAGGGUGAACGCUGGCGGCGUGGAUAAGCCAUGCAAGUCGAACGGUCCGCAAGGACAGUGGCAGACGAGGUAGUAACGCGUAGGUACAUCCCCCAAAGUCGGGCAUAGCCAGCCGAAAGGUUGGGUAAUUCCCGAUGGCCCCGUAAGGGUAAAGAUUUAUCGCUUUGGGAGUGGCCUGCGUAAUAUCAGCUAGUUGGUGAGGUAAUGGCUCACCAAGGCUACGACGUUUAGGGGAGCUGAGAGGCUGACCCCCACCGAUGGGACUGCGAUACGGCCCAUACUCCUACGGGAGGCUGCAGGCGAGAAUAUUCCGCAAUGGACGCAAGUCUGACGGAGCGACGCCGCGUGAUGGAUGAAGUGCUUAGGUACGUAAACAUCUUUUAUCGGGGAAGAACUUAUUGACGGUACCCGAUGAAUAAGGGGCUCCUAACUCUGUGCCAGCAGGAGCGGUAAUACAGAGGCCCCGAGCGUUACCCGGAAUCACUGGGCGUAAAGGGUGUCCAGGCGGCCUUGUUAGUCUUUCGUAAAAUCUAUGGGCUUAACCUAUAGCGCGCGAAGGAAACGGCAAGGCUCGAGGGCGCGAGAGGUAGAGGGAACUCACGGUGGAGGGGUGAAAUCCGUUGAUAUCGUGGGGAACACCAAAGGCGAAGGCACUCUACUAGCGCGUUCCUGACGCUCACACACGAAAGCCAGGGGAGCGAACGGGAUUAGAUACCCCCGUAGUCC
RNAcentral lists this ribosomal RNA (743 nucleotides) under uncultured bacterium. RNAcentral describes it as "bacterial SSU rRNA". It matches the Rfam family "Bacterial small subunit ribosomal RNA", at positions 8 to 796 of the family's 1533-position model. The record is from RNAcentral.